RNAcentral lists this ribosomal RNA (550 nucleotides) under uncultured bacterium. RNAcentral's name for it is "bacterial SSU rRNA". It matches the Rfam family "Bacterial small subunit ribosomal RNA", at positions 355 to 896 of the family's 1533-position model. The record is from RNAcentral.
UAGGGAAUCUUCCGCAAUGGGCGAAAGCCUGACGGAGCAACGCCGCGUGAGUGAUGAAGGUCUUCGGAUCGUAAAACUCUGUUAUUAGGGAAGAACAUAUGUGUAAGUAACUGUGCACAUCUUGACGGUACCUAAUCAGAAAGCCACGGCUAACUACGUGCCAGCAGCCGCGGUAAUACGUAGGUGGCAAGCGUUAUCCGGAAUUAUUGGGCGUAAAGCGCGCGUAGGCGGUUUUUUAAGUCUGAUGUGAAAGCCCACGGCUCAACCGUGGAGGGUCAUUGGAAACUGGAAAACUUGAGUGCAGAAGAGGAAAGUGGAAUUCCAUGUGUAGCGGUGAAAUGCGCAGAGAUAUGGAGGAACACCAGUGGCGAAGGCGACUUUCUGGUCUGUAACUGACGCUGAUGUGCGAAAGCGUGGGGGUCAAACAGGAUUAGAUACCCUGGUAGUCCACGCCGUAAACGAUGAGUGCUAAGUGUUAGGGGGUUUCCGCCCCUUAGUGCUGCAGCUAACGCAUUAAGCACUCCGCCUGGGGAGUACGACCGCAAGGUUG